Molecule: ribosomal RNA, 510 nt
Filed under: uncultured bacterium
Lineage: Bacteria
Description: partial 16S ribosomal RNA
Rfam family: Bacterial small subunit ribosomal RNA
Source: RNAcentral
AUUGAACGCUGGCGGUAUGCUUAACACAUGCAAGUCGAACGGCAGCACAGACUGUAGCAAUACAGUUGGGUGGCGAGUGGCGGACGGGUGAGUAACGCGUGGGAAUCUGUCUUAAAGUGGGGGAUAACUCGAGGAAACUCGAGCUAAUACCGCAUAUCUAGCUUGCUAGAAAGGGGGCCUCUGUUUACAUGCUUUCGCUUUAAGGUGAGCCUGCGUCUGAUUAGCUAGUUGGUAGGGUAAAGGCCUACCAAGGCAAUGAUCAGUAGCUGUUCUGAGAGGAAGACCAGCCACACUGGGACUGAGACACGGCCCAGACUCCUACGGGAGGCAGCAGUGGGGAAUAUUGCACAAUGGGCGCAAGCCUGAUGCAGCCAUGCCGCGUGUGUGAAGAAGGCCUUCGGGUUGUAAAGCACUUUCAGUGAGGAGGAAGGGUGGCGUGUUAAUAGCACACGACAUUGACGUUACUCGCAGAAGAAGCACCGGCUAACUCUGUGCCAGCCGCCGCAGUAA